AUUGAACGCUGGCGGCAUGCCUUACACAUGCAAGUCGAACGGUAACGCGGGGCAACCUGGCGACGAGUGGCGAACGGGUGAGUAAUAUAUCGGAACGUGCCCAGUAGUGGGGAAUAGCCCGGCGAAAGCCGGAUUAAUACCGCAUACGACCUGAGGGUGAAAGCGGGGGACUCGCAAGAGCCUCGCGCUAUUGGAGCGGCCGAUAUCAGAUUAGCUAGUUGGUGGGGUAAAAGCCUACCAAGGCGACGAUCUGUAGCUGGUCUGAGAGGACGACCAGCCACACUGGGACUGAGACACGGCCCAGACUCCUACGGGAGGCAGCAGUGGGGAAUUUUGGACAAUGGGCGCAAGCCUGAUCCAGCCAUGCCGCGUGCGGGAAGAAGGCCUUCGGGUUGUAAACCGCUUUUGUCAGGGAAGAAACGGUCUGGGCCAAUACCCCGGACUAAUGACGGUACCUGAAGAAUAAGCACCGGCUAACUACGUGCCAGCAGCCGCGGUAAUACGUAGGGUGCAAGCGUUAAUCGGAAUUACUGGGCGUAAAGCGUGCGCAGGCGGCUUUGCAAGACAGAUGUGAAAUCCCCGGGCUCAACCUGGGAACUGCAUUUGUGACUGCAAGGCUAGAGUGCGGCAGAGGGGGAUGGAAUUCCGCGUGUAGCAGUGAAAUGCGUAGAUAUGCGGAGGACACCGAUGGCGAAGG
RNAcentral lists this ribosomal RNA (697 nucleotides) under uncultured beta proteobacterium. Its description in RNAcentral is "bacterial SSU rRNA". It matches the Rfam family "Bacterial small subunit ribosomal RNA", at positions 28 to 721 of the family's 1533-position model. Lineage: Bacteria; Pseudomonadati; Pseudomonadota; Betaproteobacteria. The record is from RNAcentral.